Molecule: ribosomal RNA, 393 nt
Filed under: uncultured bacterium
Lineage: Bacteria
Description: partial 16S ribosomal RNA
Rfam family: Bacterial small subunit ribosomal RNA
Source: RNAcentral
AUACGGAGGAUCCGAGCGUUAUCCGGAUUUAUUGGGUUUAAAGGGAGCGUAGGUGGGAUAUUAAGUCAGCUGUGAAAGUUUGGGGCUCAACCUUAAAAUUGCAGUUGAUACUGGUUUCCUUAAGUACGGUAUAGGUGGGCGGAAUUCGUGGUGUAGCGGUGAAAUGCUUAGAUAUCACGAAGAACUCCGAUCGCGAAGGCAGCUCACCGGGCCGGAACUGACACUGAUGCUCGAAAGUGCGGGUAUCAAACAGGAUUAGAUACCCUGGUAGUCCGCACAGUAAACGAUGAAUACUCGCUGUUUGCGAUACACUGUAAGCGGCCAAGCGAAAGCGUUAAGUAUUCCACCUGGGGAGUACGCCGGCAACGGUGAAACUCAAAUGAAUUGGCGGGG